RNAcentral lists this long non-coding RNA (657 nucleotides) under Pongo abelii (Sumatran orangutan). RNAcentral's name for it is "lincRNA". The record is from RNAcentral. Lineage: Eukaryota; Metazoa; Chordata; Mammalia; Primates; Hominidae.
UGGGUAACCCAAGCCUCGGCAGGUACAGUUCCUCCCUCAGGGCCCAGGACACAGAGAGCAUACAAUAGACAUUAGCUGCUGUGGUCUCUUGAUUUCAAGCCCAGUGCAGAUGCAUCUGACUUAUGAAACUUCAGUGACACCUGCUCUGUGCCAGACACCGAAGAUGGAGCAGUGAACAGCGCUGACCCAGCCUGUCCUCCUGUUGCCUGCAGGCCAGAUGGAGUCUCGCUUGUCACCAGGCUGGAGUACAGUGGCGUGAUCUCAGCUCACUGCAACCUCCGCCUCCCAGGUUCAAGCGAUUCUCCUGCCUCAGCCUCCCAAGUAGCUUGGAUUACAGAUGUGUGCCACCACGCCCUGUUAAUUUUUUUUUGUUUGUUUUGUUUUGUUUUUUGUUUUUUGUUUUUGAGAUGGAGUCUUGCUCUGUCGCCCAGGCUGGAGUGCAGUGGCCCUGAUCUCGGCUCACCGCAAGCUCCACCUCCCGGGUUCACGCCAUUCUCCUCCUGGGCAACAUAGUGAGACUCUGUCACAAAUAAAUAAAUAAAUAAAUAAAUAAGGUGAGGAGAAAAAAAUACCAUCUCUGUCUUCACAGAACUUAUAGUUUGGGAGGGGAGAAUCCUACAAGUAAAUUAAAAAUCUCAGCUGAGAUGAUGCAAAGAA